ACCUUGGCUUUAGACUGCUUACU
RNAcentral lists this microRNA (23 nucleotides) under Salmo salar (Atlantic salmon). Its description in RNAcentral is "ssa-miR-212a-5p". Its record names the gene ssa-miR-212a-5p. RNAcentral also lists the same sequence under 7 other names. Lineage: Eukaryota; Metazoa; Chordata; Actinopteri; Salmoniformes; Salmonidae. The record is from miRBase by way of RNAcentral.